This 529-nucleotide ribosomal RNA is filed under the name uncultured bacterium. Its description in RNAcentral is "bacterial SSU rRNA". It matches the Rfam family "Bacterial small subunit ribosomal RNA", at positions 981 to 1509 of the family's 1533-position model. The record is from RNAcentral.
UUGACAUACUAAGAACUUUCCAGAGAUGGAUUGGUGCCUUCGGGAACUUAGAUACAGGUGCUGCAUGGCUGUCGUCAGCUCGUGUCGUGAGAUGUUGGGUUAAGUCCCGCAACGAGCGCAACCCUUUUCCUUAUUUGCCAGCGGUUAAGCCGGGAACUUUAAGGAUACUGCCAGUGACAAACUGGAGGAAGGCGGGGACGACGUCAAGUCAUCAUGGCCCUUACGGCCAGGGCUACACACGUGCUACAAUGGUCGGUACAAAGGGUUGCUACCUCGCGAGAGGAUGCUAAUCUCAAAAAAGCCGAUCGUAGUCCGGAUCGCAGUCUGCAACUCGACUGCGUGAAGUCGGAAUCGCUAGUAAUCGCGGAUCAGAAUGCCGCGGUGAAUACGUUCCCGGGCCUUGUACACACCGCCCGUCACACCAUGGGAGUUUGUUGCACCAGAAGUAGGUAGUCUAACCGCAAGGAGGACGCUUACCACGGUGUGGCCGAUGACUGGGGUGAAGUCGUAACAAGGUAGGCGUAGAUGA